UUCAGAAAACACAUCCAUAACAUUGGGAUGCGCCAUCAGAAGGAUCUAUGACUGUUCAUUCGAGGGGGAGCUUACGUAGUUGUACUCUUUUUACCUUACUAUGGUUUUUCCCAUUGGGUUUUCCUGGAAAGGUUUUUAACGAGGCAACAAAGACGUUAAGCGAGAGCGGAUAGUGACACCGGCCCCCAAGGGGGAGUGUUACGAAAGACAAAAGAUAAGAUGAGCCGUUUUCGUUGAAUAUAUAUAAAGAUGUGGGGCCCGCUGCACUAUUUGCACAGUGAAUCCUACUUUUUUAUGUCUAUAUAAACGAACGUUUGUGUUCGACGAUUACACCAUCUCUUCUCCUUCUUAAUAACAAAUUCUCUAUUGUUAUCAGUGUUAUCUCCUAUCUACGGGUAUAAAAUUUUCCCUUAUUUAAAUUCCUGCGAUAUAAUAAAAUUUCAGUUCUUUUUAUAACAGUUACAACAAUUUAUUUUAUUUUUUCGAAAAAGUUUGUGGAUAUUUUGUUUUCCCUCAAUUACACUCCGACGUGGAACAACUAGCGAAAGAAAAAAACAAUCUACAGCUUCUUACCACAUCAUCGAAUGAGUGAAUGACAUGUGGGAUACAAAGCUCGAAAUGAAAUAGUCUCUCCACCAUUCAUCACUGACUACAUCUGUUCAAGUGUUCAUGAUCUCAACCGGAAAAGAGAGUUGCGGCCUGCAGUGGUGGCGGUCAGGCGGGUUUCUUAUCUGCUUUUGUGUUUCCAUUGGGUCAUUGGUCUUUGAGCUCAAAUUUAGUGAAGGUCUCAACCUUUUUUAGUCUUCGCUCCGAUCCGAGUGUUCCAUACAGCUCCGCAGUCGUCAAAGUGAGGUCUUUGAUCAGCUUGUAUCCAUGCACGACCCUGAUGAUGGCUUUCCGUUAAUGUGUUUCGCUCUACUCGGCUGAAGAAACUUGUGAUUCACAUAGUUUCUAGCUCUGAGAGGUGAACCAUCCAACGUUAAGUUUAAUUUGUUUUUCUUGUUCAAUGUACAUGCCUUUUCGGUUAUAUCUACAUGUAUGGAUCAGAUAUAAGACUUACGAGACACAAGGCUCAUCUUCUGCUUGGUAGGCACUGUGUUUAUUUUGAUAACUGAUGUCUGUUAAAAGCUCUCUGUGUCAUGUAAUGUUCAUGUUUACGGUUUUACCUAUAGAGGGUUUUAAUCCAUGAUACGUCUUUGUUACAUAUAGAGAGUUUUAAUCCAUGAUACGUCUUUGCAUCUUUCCAAAUGAAACCAUUCCUAUUUAGUACAUCUUCCGGAUGGACUUAUUUCACUUUGUUUAUUGUCCGCAGUCCCUGUCAACAUCUCAUUUGGAGGCAUGUUUGUAUGUUGUAAACGACCAUACAGUUCAGCUAUGCCUUCAGAAUAGUUAGUCUUGUUGCUGGAAGAACUAGCUUCAAAAUCACUUGAUCUAGAUAUAAAGGUUGAUGUGUUACAUUUUCCUAGAUAGAGCUUUUGCAGUAUAGUUCCUGUAACUUUCUAUACGUCUAUAAUGAACAUGAAUGGAUCUGAGGAUCUCCUACCGAACACCUCCACGACAUUAUUGCUUCUGAAAUCAGAGUCAGGUGUUUGUGUUUCCUACUUGUCAUAUAUUUAGUAUGUUUCCUACAAUUUGUUCAACUUAGGCAAAGAUUCAUUUAACAUUUUACCAAAAAAAAAAAAACUUAGGCAAAGAUUUGCGUGAUGGAUGCUCAGAUUGAUAGAGCUGAUUAGGAAUGAUUGAUAUUUCAGUUUAAUAUUCGCUUUAGAGAUUGGUUUUGGAUGUUACCCUGAUUUUGUCUUCUCCGUAGAGCAAAAGGUAAAGGGAGCCAGAAGAAGGCAAAGACCUCCAUGUUAAGACCUUUGAUUUAAUAGCUAGAAAUUGUGGAACUUAGGAUCAGAUAUUGUGACAAUUUUUUAAGUAUUUUUGUGACAGAGGAACAGAGGAAAAUUUGUAUUCUUUUGGCUCAUUUGAUGCCCCUUAGAAUACAAUUUGUUAGUCUUCAUCGAUGUCAUUAUUUGUAUUGCUGGCUAAAAUAAUCUUCUGAUGUUCAAUAUAUGUUGCCGGUUUCUGUUAAUAAUGUUUCAAGUUCAGAGCCGUCUCAGCCUCAUUAAUUAUGCUUUAUGUGGGACGCUGCCGUUGUUGAAGGUGAAAAGAUUCCUUGAAGAUGUUAUAUACCUCACAAGCAAGCUUAUACCCUUCACACGUUUUUGUCCUGGUGUGGGACGAACUGCUCAAGCUAAGAACAGACAUUUCCAAUGGUCAAGGUCGUUAGCUUGACAAGUCUGCAAAUUUGAUUUCAUCUCUGACUUGCUCAAGAACACUGACAGCAAUGCUGAGGUUAAAUGUCUGGAUGGGGAUGCCCUACCAAUCCCAGUAGCAAAGGCUCUCACAGCUGCUGCUGCUGUUUCUUCUUCUUCUUUUUGAAUUAAUACAGACUGAGACACAAUUGGCUUCGAGCACCAAGAGUCAAAGAAACUGUCUGCUUAAAUCUUUAGCCGAGACUAAUGUGUUUUAUUGUCCGUUUAGGCAACUUGUACUCUCAGCCUCCGUUUUGGUACGUUUUCUAUUUCUGUUGUACUCAAAGAAGUCGUCUGCUUAUAUCUGAAGCUUAAUGCAUAUAUGAGAAGAACCUUCAGCUUCAGUAAAUGUGUAGAUCGAUUGAUGCAAUAUGUAUCUUUGUUGGUGAAUGAAUUCAAAGGAGUUGGAACA
This is a long non-coding RNA of Brassica napus (rape), 2712 nucleotides long. RefSeq lists it as uncharacterized. NCBI's taxonomy places the organism in Eukaryota, Viridiplantae, Streptophyta, Magnoliopsida, Brassicales, Brassicaceae. The transcript has 2 exons. The record is from RefSeq and is a predicted model, not a curated record.